This 253-nucleotide ribosomal RNA is filed under the name uncultured bacterium. RNAcentral's name for it is "partial 16S ribosomal RNA". It matches the Rfam family "Bacterial small subunit ribosomal RNA", at positions 524 to 776 of the family's 1533-position model. The record is from RNAcentral.
UACAGAGGUCCCAAGCGUUGUUCGGAUUUACUGGGCGUAAAGGGUGCGUAGGUGGCGAGGUAAGUUUGAUGUGAAAUCUCCGAGCUCAACUCGGAAAUGGCAUUGAAUACUAUCCCGCUUGAGGGUCGGAGGGGAGACUGGAAUUCUCGGUGUAGCAGUGAAAUGCGUAGAUAUCUGGAGGAAUACCGGUGGCGAAGGCGGCAUCCUGGACCAUAACUGACGCUGAGGCGCGAAAGCUAGGGGAGCAAACGGG